AGCAGCCGCGGUAAUUCCAGCUCCAAUAGCGUAUAUUAAAGUUGUUGCAGUUAAAAAGCUCGUAGUUGAAUUUCGGGGCCAGUAGGUUGGUCGUGCCACUGGUAUGCACUGGUCUCACUGGUCCCUCCUUCUUGUAGAACCGUGAUGGCAUUAAUUUGUUGUUGCGGGGAAACAGGACUGUUACUUUGAAAAAAUUAGAGUGCUUAAAGCAGGCUCGCGCUUGAAUACAUUAGCAUGGAAUAACGAAAUAGGACGAUCGAACCUAUUUUGUUGGUUUCUAGGAUCGACGUAAUGAUUAAUAGGGAUAGUUGGGGGCAUUAGUAUUCAAUUGUCAGAGGUGAAAUUCUUGGAUUUAUUGAAGACUAACUACUGCGAAAGCAUUUGCCAAGGAUGUUUUCAUUAAUCAAGAACGAAAGUUAGGGGAUCGAAGACGAUCAGAUACCGUCGUAGUCUUAACCAUAAACUAUGCCGACUAGGGAUCGGAUGAAGUUAAUUUUUUAAUGACUCAUUCGGCGCCUUA
This 520-nucleotide ribosomal RNA is filed under the name uncultured Glomus. Its description in RNAcentral is "SSU rRNA". It matches the Rfam family "Eukaryotic small subunit ribosomal RNA", at positions 569 to 1090 of the family's 1831-position model. Lineage: Eukaryota; Fungi; Glomeromycota; Glomeromycetes; Glomerales; Glomeraceae. The record is from RNAcentral.